GACGAACGCUGGCGGCGUGCCUAAUACAUGCAAGUUGAGCGAUGAAGAUUGGUGCUUGCACCAAUUUGAAGAGCAGCGAACGGGUGAGUAACGCGUGGGGAAUCUGCCUUUGAGCGGGGGACAACAUUUGGAAACGAAUGCUAAUACCGCAUAACAACUUUAAACAUAAGUUUUAAGUUUGAAAGAUGCAAUUGCAUCACUCAAAGAUGAUCCCGCGUUGUAUUAGCUAGUUGGUGAGGUAAAGGCUCACCAAGGCGAUGAUACAUAGCCGACCUGAGAGGGUGAUCGGCCACAUUGGGACUGAGACACGGCCCAAACUCCUACGGGAGGCAGCAGUAGGGAAUCUUCGGCAAUGGACGAAAGUCUGACCGAGCAGCGCCGCGUGAGUGAAGAAGGUUUUCGGAUCGUAAAACUCUGUUGGUAGAGAAGAACGUUGGUGAGAGUGGAAAGCUCAUCAAGUGACGGUAACUACCCAGAAAGGGACGGCUAACUACGUG
Molecule: ribosomal RNA, 497 nt
Filed under: uncultured bacterium
Lineage: Bacteria
Description: partial 16S ribosomal RNA
Rfam family: Bacterial small subunit ribosomal RNA
Source: RNAcentral